AGGUCAUGUUUUCGAUUGGAAAUUCUAUACUUUCAGGAGCUGCAGGUCUUUUCAAUUUCGUGUCCCAGUCGAUGGUGUUCUUUUGGGUACUUUAUUAUCUUAUCACAUCGGAGUUUGGAGGAGCAACGGAACAAGUAAUAUGUAUGCUUCCAAUACCACAUUCUGCAAGAACUCGAUGUGUUGAAGUUCUUGAUAAAGCAAUUUCUGGUGUCAUUUUAGCUACUGCUGAGAUUGCAUUCUUUCAGGGAUGCCUGACUUGGCUCUUGUUUAGAUUAUACUCGAUACAUUUUCUGUACAUGUCGACUGUUCUUGCAUUUAUAAGUCCUUUG
Molecule: unclassified non-coding RNA, 329 nt
Filed under: Hevea brasiliensis (rubber tree)
Lineage: Eukaryota; Viridiplantae; Streptophyta; Magnoliopsida; Malpighiales; Euphorbiaceae
Source: RNAcentral